This 494-nucleotide ribosomal RNA is filed under the name uncultured bacterium. RNAcentral describes it as "bacterial SSU rRNA". It matches the Rfam family "Bacterial small subunit ribosomal RNA", at positions 34 to 507 of the family's 1533-position model. The record is from RNAcentral.
CGCUGGCGGCGUGCCUAAUACAUGCAAGUCGAGCGGACCAACUUAAGAGCUUGCUCUUAUGAGGUUAGCGGCGGACGGGUGAGUAACACGUGGGCAACCUGCCCUGUAGACUGGGAUAACAUCGAGAAAUCGGUGCUAAUACCGGAUAAUUAUUGGAACUGCAUAGUUCUAACUUAAAAGAUGGCUCCGGCUAUCACUAUAGGAUGGGCCCGCGGCGCAUUAGCUAGUUGGUAAGGUAAUGGCUUACCAAGGCGACGAUGCGUAGCCGACCUGAGAGGGUGAUCGGCCACACUGGGACUGAGACACGGCCCAGACUCCUACGGGAGGCAGCAGUAGGGAAUCUUCCGCAAUGGACGAAAGUCUGACGGAGCAACGCCGCGUGAGUGAUGAAGGUUUUCGGAUCGUAAAGCUCUGUUGUUAGGGAAGAACAAGUGCCGUUCGAAUAGGGCGGCACCUUGACGGUACCUAACCAGAAAGCCACGGCUAACUACGUG